This 509-nucleotide ribosomal RNA is filed under the name uncultured bacterium. RNAcentral's name for it is "bacterial SSU rRNA". It matches the Rfam family "Bacterial small subunit ribosomal RNA", at positions 11 to 507 of the family's 1533-position model. The record is from RNAcentral.
AUUUGAUCAUGGCUCAGGAGUGAACGCUGGCGGCAGGCCUAAUACAUGCAAGUCGAACGGCAGCACAGCAGAGCUUGCUCUGUGGGUGGCGAGUGGCGGACGGGUGAGGAAUACAUGGGAAUCUGCCCAGUCGUGGGGGAUAACGUAGGGAAACUUACGCUAAUACCGCAUGCGCCCUUCGGGGGGAAAGCCGGGGACCUUCGGGCCUGGCGCGAUUGGAUGAGCCCAUGUCGGAUUAGCUAGUUGGCGGGGUAAUGGCCCACCAAGGCGACGAUCCGUAGCUGGUCUGAGAGGAUGAUCAGCCACACUGGAACUGAGACACGGUCCAGACUCCUACGGGAGGCAGCAGUAGGGAAUAUUGGACAAUGGGCGCAAGCCUGAUCCAGCCAUGCCGCGUGAGUGAAGAAGGCCCUCGGGUUGUAAAGCUCUUUUGUCCGGAAAGAAAAGCGCCGGGUUAAUACCCUAGUGUCCUGACGGUACCGGAAGAAUAAGCACCGGCUAACUUCGUG